UGCGUAGGUGGUUUAGUAAGUUAUGUGUGAAAUCCCCGGGCUUAACCUGGGAGGGUCAGAUAAUACUGCUGAACUAGAGUAUGAGAGAGGGUAGUGGAAUUUCCGGUGUAGCGGUGAAAUGCGUAGAGAUCGGAAGGAACACCAGUGGCGAAGGCGGCUACCUGGCUCAAUACUGACACUGAGGCACGAAAGCGUGGGGAGCAAACA
This 207-nucleotide ribosomal RNA is filed under the name uncultured bacterium. RNAcentral's name for it is "partial 16S ribosomal RNA". It matches the Rfam family "Bacterial small subunit ribosomal RNA", at positions 568 to 774 of the family's 1533-position model. The record is from RNAcentral.